UACAGAGGUCCCAAUCGUUGUUCGGAUUCACUGGGCGUAAAGGGUGUGCAGGUGGCGAGGUAAGUUCGAUGUGAAAUCCCCGGGCUCAACCCGGGAACUGCAUUGAAAACUCUCUCGCUCGAUGGUCGGAGGGGAGACUGGAAUUCUCGGUGUAGCAGUGAAAUGCGUGGAUAUCGAGAGGAACACCAGUGGCGAAGGCGAGUCUCUGGACGACACCUGACACUGAGGCACGAAAGCUAGGGGAGCAAUCAGG
Molecule: ribosomal RNA, 253 nt
Filed under: uncultured bacterium
Lineage: Bacteria
Description: partial 16S ribosomal RNA
Rfam family: Bacterial small subunit ribosomal RNA
Source: RNAcentral